Molecule: ribosomal RNA, 332 nt
Filed under: uncultured Anaerolineaceae bacterium
Lineage: Bacteria; Bacillati; Chloroflexota; Anaerolineae; Anaerolineales; Anaerolineaceae
Description: bacterial SSU rRNA
Rfam family: Bacterial small subunit ribosomal RNA
Source: RNAcentral
AGGUGUUGCAUGGCUGUCGUCAGCUCGUGUCGUGAGAUGUCGGUUAAGUCCGCUAACGAGCGCAACCCUCGCUGUGUGUUACAAGUGUCACACGGUACUGCCGAUAUUAAGUCGGAGGAAGGUGGGGAUGACGUCAAGUCAGCAUGACCUUUAUAUCCAGGGCUACACACACGCUACAAUGGCCAGUACAAUGGGUUGCCAAGCCGCGAGGCGGAGCCAAUCCUAAAAAGCUGGCCUCAGUUCAGAUUGCAGUCUGCAACUCGACUGCAUGAAGUUGGAGUUGCUAGUAACCGCAGGUCAGCAAUACUGCGGUGAAUACGUUCCCGGGGAUU